UGGAGAAGGUCCCAAGGGUAUGGCUGUUCGUCAUUUAAAGCGUUACGCGAGCUGGGUUCAGAACGUCGUGAGACAGUUCGGUCCCUAUCCGCCGUGGGCGUAGGAAAUUUGAGGAGAGCUGUCCCUAGUACGAGAGGACCGGGAUGGACGGACCUCUGGUCUACCAGUUGUUCCGCCAGGAGCAUUGCUGGGUAGCUACGUUCGGACGGGAUAAACGCUGAAAGCAUCUAAGCGUCAAGCCCCCUCCAAGACUAGAUUUCCCGUGGGAUAACCCACCUAAAGGCCCCUCGAAGACUACGAGGUUGAUAGGUCGCAGGUCGAAGCGCGGCAACGCGUGCAGCCGAGCGAUACUAAUUGGCCGUGAGGCUUAGCCUUUUCU
Molecule: ribosomal RNA, 379 nt
Filed under: Verrucomicrobiota bacterium
Lineage: Bacteria; Pseudomonadati; Verrucomicrobiota
Description: Verrucomicrobia bacterium (marine metagenome) partial 23S ribosomal RNA
Rfam family: Bacterial large subunit ribosomal RNA
Source: RNAcentral